Molecule: ribosomal RNA, 538 nt
Filed under: uncultured bacterium
Lineage: Bacteria
Description: partial 16S ribosomal RNA
Rfam family: Bacterial small subunit ribosomal RNA
Source: RNAcentral
UGGGGAAUAUUGCACAAUGGGCGAAAGCCUGAUGCAGCAACGCCGCGUGCGGGAUGACGGCCUUCGGGUUGUAAACCGCUUUCAGCAGGGACGAAGGUUUUCUGACGGUACCUGCAGAAGAAGCACCGGCUAACUACGUGCCAGCAGCCGCGGUGAUACGUAGGGUGCGAGCGUUGUCCGGAAUUAUUGGGCGUAAAGAGCUUGUAGGCGGUCCGUUGCGUCGGAAGUGAAAACUCAGGGGCUUAACCCCUGAGCCUGCUUUCGAUACGGGCGGACUUGAGGGAUGUAGGGGAGAACGGAAUUCCUGGUGGAGCGGUGGAAUGCGCAGAUAUCAGGAGGAACACCAGUGGCGAAGGCGGUUCUCUGGACAUUUCCUGACGCUGAGAAGCGAAAGCGUGGGGAGCAAACAGGCUUANAUACCCUGGUAGUCCACGCCGUAAACGGUGGCACUAGGUGUGGGACCCAUUCCACGGGUUCCGUGCCGUAGCUAACGCAUUAAGUGCCCCGCCUGGGGAGUACGGCCGCAAGGCUAAAACUC